Molecule: long non-coding RNA, 6955 nt
Filed under: Podarcis lilfordi (Lilford's wall lizard)
Lineage: Eukaryota; Metazoa; Chordata; Lepidosauria; Squamata; Lacertidae
Source: RNAcentral
AUAUACAGGCAGGCCAAGGGGAAAGCCCUUUUCUGUUUCCAGCAGGACACACUUGGCAAUGGAUGUGACAUUCAGCACUGCCCAGGUUUCUUCCACUUGGAGGAGGCAAACUGGUGAAUGGAAGGAGGCAAUCCUCUGGCAGUGGGAUGCUAGGGAGCGAUAAUAAGGCAAGUUUGCUUGCUUGAAGGCUGUUGGUAUCUAUGGUUAGAAGCUGGUGGACGUCUCAUGAUGGACCUAAGAGAAACUGGCAGAUGUUGGUGAAAACACUAUCUGGAGAGCUCAUCUCAGACUGCAGCAAGCAGAUGAAGGGUUAAGGUAAAGGUAAAGGACCCCUGGACGGUUCAGUCCAGUCAAUGGAGACUAUGGGGUUGUGGAGCUCAUCUCACUUUCAGGCCGAGGGAGCCGGUGUUUGUUCACAGACAUCUUUCCAGGUCAUGUGGGCAGCAUGACUAAACCGCUUCUGGCACAACAGAUAACUGUGACAGAAGCCAGAGUGCACGGAAACACCAUUUACCUUCCCGCUGCAGCACUACCUAUUUAUCUACUUGCACUGGCAUGCUUUCGAACUGAUAGGUUGGCAGGAGCUGGGACAGAGCAAUGGGAUUCGAAGAGGCUCAGUGGUUUAGACCACAGCACCACCCGCAUCCCACCUCUGCUAUGUUACAGUAUCGUGAGUAGUCAUUGGUAAGAAUAUAGAGGAUCACAUUUAACUUUGUUGUAUUCAUAAGCAAAUCUACAUGUGCUGCACCGCUAUGGAGCCAUAUUAAUUCAUAUGUGAAGUGCUCAGUUUCUCCUUCAUCCAGUACGGACUUUUGCACCAGGAAGCUUGUUCUUACCCAUACUAAUCACUGCUCACGUUCAAAUAACUCUAUUCUAUGUGUGUGGAUCCCCUAUUAUGGAAGCAAACCAGUUACUAGAUUGGAGUCAAUGCAUUAAGUGAUUAUUCAUCAUGACUCAGUAAUAGAGAGUUGGACUACUGGGAAAUUUGGGUUCAGAUUUCUACUCAGCUUUUGGAAAGCUGCGUCUAUUGUAUCAUAAUUGAAAUAAAUGGCAUAAGUAGCAAGCAUGUUGCAAAGACAGAAAGAGUUACUUUGGUAUCAAGUGCUGAUGAAGUUUAUAAGAGUUGUAUAGAUAGCCCGGGGAAUAUAUUUGAAUUUUUAAAGAGUGAAAUAGAUGGCAUUCAUUGCAACUCUGGAUUCAGGAAGGAUGAAGUCUGUCACAGAAAUUUGUAAGGAUAAUAAAUGAUAGAUAAUGUUGAGACAUGAUAAAUAAGCUAUGUUUUGAGUUAAGAGCUUUUCAUCAUCUUAUUCCAUCAGUGACUAGAAGAUGUUAUAUUUUUGUUCAAAAAGUCAAGUUGAGAAAAAGUGAAAGUCAAGUUGAGAACGUUGGAGAUGGAGAAAGUUCUCAGGAAUGUGACAUAUGCCACAAGGGGCAUACGAGAAAUUUUUAAAAUAGUACUCAAAAACACACAUGACAGCUUAAGUAUUAUCCUCUGAGCUGAGGCUGUAGAAUGCUAGAACACUGGGGGAAGCGUAGUGUUGUCAAGGAAGGAUGUGUGUAGGUCAGCAACGUGGGAAGGAUGCAUAAGAAACUACGGAAGUGGGGUUGAGGGGGAGUCAACCCCAUAGUCGCCUUUGACUGGACUUAACCAUCCAGGGGUCCUUUACCUUUUAUAACACACACCUGCACAGUGGAGGCACCACUGAAAAGGCCCUCUCACUCACUGCUAUCCAACACUUGGUGAGGGCAUUCUAAGAAGGGCCUGAAAUGAAGAUGUCUUUGUGGAUCCUUGUGAAAGAGGGAUUCAUUCAAGUCCUGAGGUCCCAAGCUACAAAGAGCCUUAAAGGCCAAACCCAACACUCUGAAUUGAAACAGAAGCCAAUCAAAUAAUAAUAAUAAUAAUAAUAAUAAUAAUAAUAAUAAUAAUAAUUUAUUUGUACCCCGCCCAUCUGACUGGGUUUCCCCAGCCACUCUGGGCAGCUUCCAACAAAGAUUAAAAAUACAUUAAAAUGUCACACAUUAAAAGCUUCCCUAAACAGGGCUGCCUUCAGAUGUCUUCUAAAUGUCAGGUAGUUGUUUAUCUCUUUGAUAUCUGAUGGGAGGGUGUUCCACAGGGCGGGUGCCACUACCGAGAAGGCCCUCUGCCUGGUUCCCUGUAGCUUUGCUUCUCGCAGUGAGGGAACCGCCAGAAGGCCCUCGGCGCUGGACCUUAGAAUCUGGGCAGAAUGAUGGGGGUGGAGACACUCCUUCAGGUAUACUGGGCUGAGGCCAUUUAGGGCUUUAAAGGUCAACACCAACACUUUGAAUUGUGCUCGGAAAUGUACUCAAAAAUGGAAGAGUACUGGCAUAACAUUUUCAUAAUAUCCAGUCCAUUAAUAAUAUUACUGCCAUAUUCUGUGCAGUAUUCGGGGACACAUUCAAAGGCAGCCCCACAUCCAAUGCAUUGCAAUAAUUCAAGUGGGAGGUCAUCAGGCCACAGAUGGUUGAAGCAAUGCUAUUGCUCUCCUGACAGCGUCAUAGACGUUAAGUUGGACAAAAUUGGUAAAAGACGCUCUGAGCUCUAGGAGCUGCUUAGUGAAGGUUCACUUUUCUUAUCAGAAUUAUAACAUUUGUGAGGUUUUCUAAAUGGGUGUUGGACCCCACUUUGCAUGAAUUUGUUUAUUAAAAAGCGAUACUUUUAGCUUCAGGGGCUUCCCUUCAUUUUCUAGCAGCUAAUUCCUCAUCAGCUAUCCGUUUCACAUUAUAAACCAAUUUGCAUCAUAAUGCAUCUAAAUAAUAUAAACACCUCGUUAAUUCUAAUAGCUAAAAUUGCAAGAUGAAUGCAAGCAAGAUAUGAUAACUGAUUGUGAUGCGUUUGGAAAAGUUGUGUUUGGGUUUUUCAGAUGGGAGGCUACAAAAAGUAUUCUCUAGCCACUCGGAUGCCUUUAUCAGUGUUGUUAACAUUCUUCUCUUCAAAGUCACUGAUGCUUGUCCCUGAAGGCUCAUUGCACAAUAUGACUUGAGUGUAUUCUAUGAUUUGGCAUUCUAUAGACCACAAAAUUUCCCUUAUAAUAUGCCUGCAUGAUUACAGCUCUCAGAUUGGUGCUAUGGCAUACGUCCAAAAGGGUGACAAGAAUGGAGCCAUCCUUUCUUUUAGGCUAAUCUCCUUCUGAAAGCAGGAAGCAAACUACAGACAGCGGCCAUUUCAUGUGGGGGUUCCAUUCCCCCUCCCCACAUUUCAGUGGAGUGUGCAUAAGUGCCUCACCCCAUUCUGCCCCAGUUCUGCCCUCUUCCAAGUCCAAAAGGACAUAAAGGUAAAGGUAAAGGGACCCCUGACCAUUAGGUCCAGUCGUGGCCGACUCUGGGGUUGCGGUGCUCAUCUCGUUUUACUGGCUGAUGGAGCCGGCGUACAGCUUCCAGACCAUGUGGCCAGCAUGACUAAGCCACUUCUGGCGAACCAGAGCAGUGCACGGAAACUCCGUUUACCUUCCCGCCACAGCGGUACCUAUUUAUCUACUUGCACUUUGACGAGCAGGGACUGAGCAACGGGAGCUCACCCCGUCACAGGGAUUUGAACCGCCAACCUUCUGAUUGGCAAGUCCUAGGCUCUGUGGUUUAACCGCAGCGCCACCUGCAUCCCCCCAAAAGGACAUGCACGUCACCAAUUGCAUGUCAAUUGGACGUGCCUAAAAUUCAGAUUGCACAGCCCAGCUUUGUGAAUGUAUCUCUUUUCUCUAUGUAUUGUGUUGAGGUGGGCCUUUUCCACCAGGAUCCCAUGAGCUACUUUCAGCAUGUCUGAAAUGUAGGGAUGAAGAGAAAUUUGAAUCAGUUUGCUUUUAAGGUGAAGUUACCUAAUUCUCACUGUCCAAAAAAAAGAGACAGUGGUACCUCGGGUUAAGAGCUUAAUUCGUUCUGGAGGUCCAUUCUUAACCUGAAACUGUUCUUAACCUGAGGCACCACUUUAGCUAAUGGGGCCUCCCGCUGCUGCUGCGCCGCUGCCGCACAAUUUCUGUUCUCAUCCUGAACAUAGCUGUCAACUUUUUCCUUUUCUUGCGAGGAAUCCUAUUCGGAAUAAGGGAAUUUCCCUUUUAAAAAGGGAAAAGUUGACAGUUAUGAUCCUGAAGCAAAGUUCUUAACCCGAGGUACUAUUUCUGGGUUAGCGGAGUCUGUAACCUGAAGCGUCUGUAACCCGGGGUACCACUGUAUGUGAACUGAAACACAGUCACCCUUUGAAAUUUACUCCUAUGGAUUUUGCAAUGACACAUAGUCUGUACAAAAAUGCAUAUACCAGAGGUUUUCAACCUUUUUGGGUCCACGGCUCCCUUGACCAACUACAUUCUUUCUGUGGCACCCCUGUGGGGCUCAGAAGUCCAGUUAUUUCACCCCUUGCCUGCAGAGCUGGUAGCCAUUCACCUCUUUUCGAAUGCCCUCCUUUGUUGGUGGGUUCCCUCAGCCUCCUCUAUUCUCCCCUCACCUUGGGAGUGCUCUGGGCAACCACCCCUAGUCUCUGAGCUGACCCCCCCUUCCCCAAAGAGAGGUGCCUCCUCACCCCCCCCCGGGGCCUGGGAAGCACCUCCUGGUCAGCCCCAGAGGCACCAUUCGUAUGUGGAGCUUAUAGCCAGGGCUGCUACAACAAACAGCUAUGAAAGCCUUUGGGAGGCAGAGAUGGAGGAGAGGGCAUCCGAGGAGGGAAGGAAAGAGGGACAGAGGCCAGUGUUGCCCAGGGCACCCCUGACCAUCAUUCAAGGCACGCUAGGGUGCCAUGGAACACUGACUGAAAACCAAUGACAUAUGCUAAAGUGUGCAUACAAAUGGGUGACCCGGAAACUACAACUAAUCCAGAAUGCGGCAGCUAGACUGGUGACUGGGAGCGGCCACUGAGACCACAUAACAUCGAUUUUGAAAGACCUACAUUGGCUCCCAGUAUGUUUCCAAGCACAAUUCAAAGUGUUGGUGCUGACCUUUAAAGCCCUAAACGGCCUCGUUCCAGUAUAUCUGAAGGACCGUCUCCACCCCCAUCGUUCUGCCCAGACACUGAGGUCCAGCGCCGGGGGCCUUCUGGCGGUUCCCUUGCUGCAAGAGGCCAAGUUGCAGAGAACCAGGCAGAGGGCCUUUUCGGUAGUGGCACCCACCCUGUGGAACGCCUUCCCACCAGAUGUGAAAGAGAAAAACAACUACCAGACCUUUAGAAUACAUCUGAAGGCAGCCCUGUUGGAAGCUGCCCAGAGUGGCUGGGGAUCAUCAUCAUCAUCAUCUGGCUGGGUAUAAAUAAUAAAUUAUUAUUAUUAUUAUUAUUAAUCAGUAAAAAAACCCAUACAAAAUACAUUAUAUCAAAUGUUUGCAAAAGGGCAUAUCAGCCUAAUUGAGGCACCCUGGAUUGCGGCCAAGGUGUGGAGAGCUGUGCAAAGCCCUAACUAAAACCCCCACAUUGAUGUAAACAUGUGGAGAACUGAAUUUAAGAUCGGAAAAAUGAGAGACCAAGAGAAACCAAACUCGACAGAUUUGCCCCUCUGAAUGUCCAGGUCCCUUGGGUAUGUUAGACCCUUUUCUUUUUGGACAGCAGACAUAACGUGCCCUCUCACAAACUGCUUUCAGAAGAGAUUUGCAAUGUGAUGUACAUGCCUGUUUCUGUAUAUGUGGGUGUUCCUUGAGAAAUACAAGCCCAAACCUCUCUUGGCUGCAUGAGCAACACAUGCUCGCUUAAAUCCAGUCCUUGGUAUGUCACAACCCACACCGUUAAUUCGGGCACCCGCUGCCAACAUAUUUAAAUGAUGCACUGUUCUCUGAUGAAUUCUGAGGAUGCCUGUCCCAUGUGUCGAACAGGACACUGAAGUCUAGGUGCAGUUGCAUGCCACAAAAUAAUGACCACCAGAAAUGGAAGUAAUUGGUCCCUUUGCUUGACCAUCUCUACAGGCAGCUUGUAGAUUUCCGGCAGACAGAAACUCGUUUGUACUCUGAAUCCUAGGGAAGGUGGUUCAAAACCAAGCUACAGUGGGGUUACUGAUGUCUGAAUCUUCCUCAAAGUGCCAUAGAAGUUCUGUGGAUAGAUUAACAUUGUAUAUUCCAGGGCAGCCAACCUUACAUUUUCCAUUAGCUCUACCUUCACUUUAAAACUGAACUAAAAUGUCAAGAGAUACAAGAAGGGGCAUCUCAUCUAUCCUCCUGCAGCCCAAGGGAAAUAGGCAGGGCAAAUCCAACCUAUUCGGUUUCUUUCCUUUUUUGCUUUUGAAUUGCAGGAAGAAGUCUGAGCAGUUGGCAUUUUGAAAGGGAACAGGAUAACCUGCUCAGUACUGAAUGAUGGGGAGCCACUGUGAUGGCAGACAGCAGGCAAGAGGUGGCUGGAGCAAAAGAAAUCACAGGAGGCUUGGAAGUAACUUGCAAAGGCUAGGAUUCAGCACGGCCAUUUUUAUUUGCAUUCAGCAUCAAGUCAGAUGUCUGCUGAGAAUUAAGAAGAGAGGGGGAAUUCAUUGUGGUCAAACAAAGGCAAUUGGUUUUCCUUAAAGGAGAGACUGAAACAAAACAGCUGCAGGCAAGGAAGAAUGGAAGCGUGGAAGGAGGCUCCUGUGGAGCUAGUUCCUUUAAUUUUCACAUAUGAGGAUCAAAUGAAGCCAUGAGUUGAGAAAACCGAUCCUGGCAAAUGUCGUUUCUGAGAGUGAAACGUGUUGCUUUGUUUUUCCACAAGGAGAGAAACGUCAGAUUUCUAAUUUGCCAGAGAAACAUAAAUGAGAGAAGGGAUACAGGAAAAGCCUGAGAUCUGGCUGGGUUCCAUCUCAUUCUCCUGUUGCUGUGCGUUAGGUAUACACUGUCAGGGUAUGUUAUGGCAUGUCAUAUUACGCUUGAUAUGAUGUGACAGGACAGUAAAAUGGAAUGCAAAGAAUAUUAAAAUAACAUUGAGGCAAAAGCAAUCUCUAGCCAGAGCUCUUUCUGAUUGUUUCAAGAAGUAUAUAGCUCCCAUUCUGGUAGAUAAGAUGCUUUG